This 432-nucleotide ribosomal RNA is filed under the name uncultured bacterium. RNAcentral describes it as "partial 16S ribosomal RNA". It matches the Rfam family "Bacterial small subunit ribosomal RNA", at positions 29 to 506 of the family's 1533-position model. The record is from RNAcentral.
AACGAACGCUGGCGGCAUGCCUAACACAUGCAAGUCGAACGAGACCUUCGGGUCUAGUGGCGCACGGGUGCGUAACGCGUGGGAACCUGCCCUUAGGUUCGGAAUAACUCCCCGAAAGGGGUGCUAAUACCGGAUAAUGUCUUCGGACCAAAGAUUUAUCGCCUUUGGAUGGGCCCGCGUUGGAUUAGCUUGUGGGUAGGGUAAAAGCCUACCAAGGCGACGUACCAUAGCUGGUUUGAGAGGAUGAUCAGCCACACUGGGACUGGGACACGUCCCAGAAUCCUACGGGAGGCAGCAGUGGGGAAUAUUGGACAAUGGGCGAAAGCCUGAGCCAGCAAUGCCGCGUGAGUGAUGAAGGCCUUAGGGUUGUAAAGCUCUUUUACCCGGGAUGAUAAGGACAGUACCGGGAGAAUAAGCUCCGGCUAACUCCUU